GGGGCUUUGUGGAUGGCACUGAAAUAUUUCCACCACUUUGAAUUCUCUUUUCUGACUGUUUGUUUACCUGAGAGUAGAACUCAACGAACUCAUGUGCAUUUCUACGUUAAACAUCAACACUUUUAAGGCAGCUUCCUCCACAGGUACGAUGUUUCUGUCCGUCUGAAUGGUGGUUAUUUCUGGCUCAGGCUCUAGUUCUGUCUCUGGCGUCUCUUCAGUCAGACGUGAAUCUGCAACAGCUUCAUCCUGCACCAGAGGACCUGCUUCUGCUUUUGUUUGCUCUACUGUCGGUUCUUUUUCAACCUCUGGCACCUUCACCACUGGAUCAGGAAGCUUCUCAUCCUGAACUGGUGGACUGGCAAAAGCUACAGAAGCUAAUGAUCAGAAACCCUCUGGAUAUUGUUUGCCGAUCAAAGACCACGCCCAUUUACUUGAGUACUCAUCUGUCUUGCCCUCAACAUACCUGUUUGCCGUUGUUUGACCCUGCCUGUGUUUUGACCACGUCACUGUAUAAUAAAAGCUUUGCACAUGGAUCCGCACACCUCACGUCUCGUUAGCUCCAUUACAGCUAAGGCGUUGCUAUGUGGUUGCUAAGGUACCCAGGGUGGUUGCUAGGGUGUUGCUAUGUGGUUGCUAGGGUACUCGGGGUGGUUGCUAGGGUAACCGGGGAAGUUUCUACUCCAAAGGCUGCUUGCCAGUAUGAAUGAUAUAAACCAAACCCCCAUGUCUCUAUAACAUUCAAAUUUGAAGAUAUGCCUGUGGGUCUUUGGGUUUCUAGGGUGCUCGACAGUGGUUGCUAGGACAUGACUAGGAAGUGUCAAUGGUGAUUCAUGAUUGGUUGUUUAUAUAUAUAUAUAUCACAUUUAUAAUUAUAAAAAUUCCUUCAAAUUAUACAUUAUAUUGUGCCCUAUUUUUACAGAUUUUUUCUAGAGUGUAUAUACUACUUGUCAAAAGACUGAACACACAGACUUUUUAUCUAUCAAUAUUACAUUUUCCCACACUAAUAACAGGAGAGUGGUGUGUUUCUGUUGGGCACAUGUGUUUGGGGGGAGCAUAUAGGCCUGUAUGGCUAACAUCAUGUGUGGACUUGACAACAGCACAGCAACUGACACUGUGGACAGGUGGACAAGUCUCACAGUGAGUGUGAGGU
Molecule: long non-coding RNA, 1150 nt
Organism: Onychostoma macrolepis
Lineage: Eukaryota; Metazoa; Chordata; Actinopteri; Cypriniformes; Cyprinidae
Exons: 4
Source: RefSeq, a predicted model, not a curated record